GGGCCCGGCCGAGAGGGAAGCGGCUGGUCUCCAGGGGCCGGGGCCCCGCCGAGAAGAAAGGGGCUGGCCUCCAGGGGCGAGGUUAUGAAGCCAAGGGCCAUGCGCCACACACUGUGAAGCAGGGGAGGAGAUGAGCACAGGCCCUGCCUUCAUAAGAGUCAUCGAGUUUGAGCACUGGUGAGACCAGCAGUAUCGGCAUCACCAGGGAAUUGUCAGGAUAUUCUCAAGCCCCACCAUUAAAGAUGAGGCCCAGCAAUGUGUGUGGCAUGUAGACAUCAGACCGGUUGGAACCAGAAGGUAGACGAGGCCGACUCCCCAUUACCUCACCACCAACCAAUCAGGAGAAUGUCCUCUGGCUGACCACGCCCUGCUCCUUGAACACCAUCUGGGAAAGAAGACAAAGCACUCUACUUGGAAGCCAUCAAGAGGCACACUGUCCAGAAAGAAGCAAAUAUGCUGAGAGGUUCAGAUGCAGGUUAUAUGGUCAAUCCUUUAUCUACAGAAGAAAGGAGGACACAAAACACACCUGGGUCAGCAUGUGAGCAACAGAUGGUCAUCUAAACAAAUACUACCUUGCUGAUUUCUUGCUUUUUUAUAUUUUCAUGUUAUUUUUCCCUUGAGAGAUUCACAGUGAGCUCUGAGCAAAUAAAAGUUAUUGAAUUUUUCGAACACUUAGAAAUAAAUGUCUACAUUCUUCUCUAUUCUAUUCUUGUCUCCAUUCUUAGACAGUGGCUGUGA
Molecule: long non-coding RNA, 738 nt
Organism: Physeter macrocephalus (sperm whale)
Lineage: Eukaryota; Metazoa; Chordata; Mammalia; Artiodactyla; Physeteridae
Exons: 4
Source: RefSeq, a predicted model, not a curated record